CAAGAGUGCAGAAAUAAAAAGCUUGAUUUUUUGCUUCUUUUAAAACAAAGAAACCAAGGAUUAAGCAGCGGCCAGACAACCGUAGCGAUGGUAUCCACAGAUGAAGGGCUAAUUUCUUUUUUAAUCCCUUCUUUGUCUACUGAUUCCAUCUCACACUU
This 158-nucleotide small nucleolar RNA is filed under the name Gossypium raimondii (Peruvian cotton). Its description in RNAcentral is "snoRNA LOC128034402". It matches the Rfam family "small nucleolar RNA snoR143". Lineage: Eukaryota; Viridiplantae; Streptophyta; Magnoliopsida; Malvales; Malvaceae. The record is from Rfam by way of RNAcentral.